AGAAUCAACGCUGGCGGCGUGCCUAACACAUGCAAGUCGCACGAGAAAGGGACUUCGGUCCUGAGUAAAGUGGCGCACGGGUGAGUAACACGUGAAUCAUCUACCUCCAAAUGGGGAAUAACUGAGAGAAAUCUUAGCUAAUACCGCAUAAUACCUACGGGUCAAAGCAGCAAUGCGUUUGGAGAGGAGUUCGCGGUCGAUUAGUUAGUUGGCGGGGUAAUGGCCCACCAAGACGAUGAUCGAUA
Molecule: ribosomal RNA, 245 nt
Filed under: uncultured bacterium
Lineage: Bacteria
Description: partial small subunit ribosomal RNA
Rfam family: Bacterial small subunit ribosomal RNA
Source: RNAcentral